This 253-nucleotide ribosomal RNA is filed under the name uncultured bacterium. RNAcentral's name for it is "partial 16S ribosomal RNA". It matches the Rfam family "Bacterial small subunit ribosomal RNA", at positions 524 to 776 of the family's 1533-position model. The record is from RNAcentral.
UACGUAGGGUGCAAGCGUUGUCCGGAAUUAUUGGGCGUAAAGAGCUUGUAGGCGGUUUGUCGCGUCUGCUGUGAAAUUUCGGGGCUCAACCCCGAACUUGCAGUGGGUACGGGCAGACUAGAGUGUGGUAGGGGAGACUGGAAUUCCCGGUGUAGCGGUGAAAUGCGCAGAUAUCGGGAAGAACACCUAUGGCGAAGGCAGCUCUCUGGGACGGUACUGACGCUGAGACGCGAAAGCGUGGGGAGCGAACAGG